RNAcentral lists this small RNA (1137 nucleotides) under Oryza sativa Japonica Group (Japanese rice). Its description in RNAcentral is "sRNA Os04g0491901". The record is from RNAcentral. Lineage: Eukaryota; Viridiplantae; Streptophyta; Magnoliopsida; Poales; Poaceae.
GCCACGAAGAUGAAGGCCAGCACCGCUAUUCCGGCGAUGAUCAGGAAGGUCAGGCCGGUCCCAACCAACCCGACGAUCGAGAGGAAUGUUUGUGCCACAAUCAGGUUAGAUACCCAGUUGACAGUGGCUGACAUGCCACCACACAUUCCACGGUAUGCCUCGGGGUAGAUCUCGGAGUUCACUGCCCAUGGAACUGGCCCCAUGCCUGGGGAGAAGAAGGCGAUGUAUAGAGCGAGUCCCGCCACCGCGAACCAUCCCAGUGCACCUUGGCAGGCACCAUUGAGUGCAUUCGAACAGAUAUCUGAUGAUGACUGCAGUAUGAAGGCCAUUGCUAGGAUGGCGAGGGAGACCACCACACCAGCCAAGCUUGUAAGGGCCAGGCGACGCCGGCCACAGCGGUCAAUCAGGUAGAUUCCAACAAUGGUCCCAGCGGCAUUCAUACCAGCGACUAUGAGGGAAAGGAGCAAUGCCAACUUGUUGGAGGUAAACCCAGCCAUCUGGACAAUUGUUGGGCUGUAGUACAUGACAGUGUUGAUGCCAGUAAAUUGCUGGAACGCCUGCACAGAUUAACAUGUCUUAGGGGAGAAAACUCCAUGUAGUUACCAACAGGAUGCAUAAAUCAAAUGCUCCUUGAGGAAUGCACUUAGCACAGUGAACCGUUUAUCUCCCUGGUGACUAAGAGUCUAAGGGACUAAGACAUACCUAAAAUGAGUGGGCUAGAAUGCUAGAUGAUGAACAUACCUGAAGACCAGCUCCAGCAAAAAAUGCUAGCCUUAGUUCCUUUGACUUGAAAAUGUCCAAAUAGCUCCCAGUACCAUCAGACUGAAAUUCAUGCAUUGAAGAAGAAGCAAGAAGCUCUACCUCUUCCUCUAGACGGUCAGAGUCAUAAAUCUUCUCUAGGACAGAAAUAGCUUUUGCUUUCUCAUCCUGUAAAGAAAAGUUAAUGUAACAACAAAAUGCAGAUAAAAGGAGAUAAUACAUGACUGAAUAAAAGCUUAAAAUAUAACCUUCCAGAAAAGCCAACGGGGAGAUUCUGGCAAAAAAAGCAUCAGAACAAACUGUAGAAUUGCAGGCACAGCAGCAACUCCGAGCAUCCAGCGCCAUGUUCCAGGAACCUAUGACAUGUAGCAUGCAUAU